GGGGAUUUAGCUCAGUGGUAUAAGCGCCUGCCUUGCGAGCAUGCAGUCGUGAGUUCGAGUUUGAUCCCCA
RNAcentral lists this transfer RNA (70 nucleotides) under Cavia porcellus (domestic guinea pig). It matches the Rfam family "tRNA". Rfam says of the family: Transfer RNA (tRNA) molecules are approximately 80 nucleotides in length. The record is from Rfam by way of RNAcentral. Lineage: Eukaryota; Metazoa; Chordata; Mammalia; Rodentia; Caviidae.